CAGUCGCCGCGGUAAUACGUAGGUCCCGAGCGUUGUCCGGAUUUAUUGGGCGUAAAGCGAGCGCAGGCGGUUAGAUAAGUCUGAUGUGAAAGCCCCCGGCUCAACCGGGGAGGGUCAUUGGAAACUGGGAAACUUGAGUGCAGAAGAGGAGAGUGGAAUUCCACGCGUAGCGGUGAAAUGCGUAGAGAUGUGGAGGAACACCAGUGGCGAAGGCGACUCUCUGGUCUGUAACUGACGCUGAGGAGCGAAAGCGUGGGGAGCGAACAGGAUUAGAUACCCCAGUAGUCCCUGUCUCUUAUAC
This 301-nucleotide ribosomal RNA is filed under the name uncultured bacterium. Its description in RNAcentral is "partial 16S ribosomal RNA". It matches the Rfam family "Bacterial small subunit ribosomal RNA", at positions 509 to 807 of the family's 1533-position model. The record is from RNAcentral.